RNAcentral lists this long non-coding RNA (1238 nucleotides) under Xyrichtys novacula (pearly razorfish). Lineage: Eukaryota; Metazoa; Chordata; Actinopteri; Labriformes; Labridae. The record is from RNAcentral.
GGGGCCCAAAGGAUAUGCUGACUUCACUGACAUCCUGUAAACUGCCGAAUCAGCCAACACUUUUUUGACUAAAAAAGUAGCUGUGAUGAUGCAAAUACAGGGGUGAGUUAUUAUUAUUAUUAUCAUUAUUAUUAUUAUUAAUUAGUCUUCACAAUAUCUCUCAGUAUGAAAUGGUACUCUUCAAAUUUAUAGUAAUUUCAGUUCUUUAAAAAGCCAAACAUCCAUGAAGAUGUGUUUAUACCUUAUCUUUUUGUUUUAUAAGUAGGUAUGGACUAACAGACACAUCCUGGAAUGAUGAAAAUUUAUUGAGAAAUACAAGCUUUUUUGUUUCAGGCGAAUGUUUCAGUAAUUUGUAGUUAAAAUAAUAAAAACAAUGAUAACUGUUGUUUUUUGACCAACAUAAAUCCACACUCACAUGUGAUAAACAGCUUCACAUGAGGAACCUCCCCUCCUCAUCCUCACUCUGUUCACAGAGCACGGAGCCCUCAGUGAGCUCACUAAAAUAACACUAAAUGGCUGUUUCAACCAUAGACUGUACAUGGAAUGGACACCGUCUGCCUCCUAGGUGGGUGAAGCCACACCUUCCUCCAGCAAUCCCUAUGGAGCUGUGGACAAACUUUAGAAAUUAAUUACACAGAAUAAAAAUUUUUCUCCUCCCUGCUGGCAAUGUUCACAUGUAGUUAUUAUAAUACUGGUUUGUGCUCAAGUCCUUUUUUUCUGUAUAGCUCCAUUUUUAAAAGUUAUUAGGGGGUUCGCAUUUUCUAUGAUUGACACUUGAUACAGCCUAUAGGUGUAUGAAGUUUAGGUACCUCAACCGGGGGAUACGCUUUUGACCUGAAUGCAGACAACACUACUGCGCAAGCGGUGAAAUGCGUAAACACAACCGUGCCAGUGGUGGUUUCAGGUAGUGGAGAAAAUCCCAGAAAUAUCAUGAGCAAUUUGUCUUCAAAUUCAUAUAAUGGCAGAAGGUGGAGCAAAGUUGUCCAUGGUAUAAACAGUCUAUGGUUUCAACCUUUAACCCUGUCUUGGUUCAGUGACUGUGCAGGUCUGUUCUCACAUAGAACUCCUCUCCUUCAGCAUUCACAGUUUCCUGCAGCACUUGAACUCAGCACCGGACUUCCUUGAAAAACAGGCCCAGAGCAGCUGCUGGAGCAGAUCUGGGGCCUAUUCUACGAAGCAGGAUUACUGCUUAGCGAGGUUACUUCGAGAGUAAGUUCAAGGUUUCCUGUUUUACGACG